GAUGAACGCUGGCGGCGUGCCUAAUACAUGCCAGUCGAGCGAACAGACGAGGAGCUUGCUCCUCUGACGUUAGCGGCGGACGGGUGAGUAACACGUGGAUAACCUACCUAUAAGACUGGGAUAACUUCGGGAAACCGGAGCUAAUACCGGAUAAUAUAUUGAACCGCAUGGUUCAAUAGUGAAAGACGGUUUUGCUGUCACUUAUAGAUGGAUCCGCGCCGCAUUAGCUAGUUGGUAAGGUAACGGCUUACCAAGGCGACGAUGCGUAGCCGACCUGAGAGGGUGAUCGGCCACACUGGAACUGAGACACGGUCCAGACUCCUACGGGAGGCAGCAGUAGGGAAUCUUCGGCAAUGGGCGAAAGCCUGACGGAGCAACGCCGCGUGAGUGAUGAAGGUCUUCGGGUCGUAAAGCUCUGUUAUUAGGAAAGAACAAAUGUGUAAGUAACUAUGCACGUCUUGACGGUACCUAAUCAGAAAGCCACGGCUAACUACGUG
Molecule: ribosomal RNA, 497 nt
Filed under: uncultured bacterium
Lineage: Bacteria
Description: partial 16S ribosomal RNA
Rfam family: Bacterial small subunit ribosomal RNA
Source: RNAcentral